CACAGAAAUCCCUUAUCUUGGAAACUUUUGAUGCAGUCACCAAACAUUUGAUCGAGUGUCUUCAAAGGAGGGAGCCCCAAUUGAAUAAUCUUUCCGCUGUCCAUGCUGUGAGGGUUGUUAUUUCCAUUUUGGCUGCUACACCUACACGAGUAGGAAAACACAUUUUAGAGCUAACUAUUAAGUUUGGAGAAAGUAUUGUUUUGUUUUGUAUGACAUGAUGAUUUAGAAAUUUUAGAACCAAAAUUUAAGGUACAAGAGUAAGGCACUUUGUCAAGCUUACUUGUCUUCAAACGGGUAGGAUGGAUAUUUGGCCCUCAGCAUCUCGAUGAUAUCUGACCAAUGAGCUACUGAGCUGGAACAUAUGAGCCUGCCUGAUGCUUCGCUUUUCUCCAUUGCUAGCAGAUGAGCAGCGAUGACAUCAUCUAUAUGCACAAACCCAACUGUUGUAUUUGGGUAUUCUCCUAUCAGACCUGAUAAAGUUGCAGAAAUAUUUGGUGAAAAUGAACUUAAUGUUUUAGGGCUGAUACAAAAUGAACUUAAAGUUUUAGGGCUGGUAAAAAUGAUACACCCAGUGUUGCUGCUGGUAAGUUUUUAAAUGUGCCGAGGGUCUCUUGCCAUUUAAAGAAAAGUAUGGGUAUCGGAACUCUCUCUCUCCUUCCCCCCCCCUCUCCCUUAUAUAGACAGGAGUUACUCUGUUCUUGGUGACACAAGAAGUAGCAAUUGCAGGUACGGCAAAUUGUUAAAAAUUGGAUACAUGUAACCUUGCUUUAAGCGUGUUUGUUCUGUUAAAAAUCAAAUUCUAGGCAAUUUACAUUUACAAGUAUAACCUUUGACAAUGGCCAAUAUCCAUUGGAGUGUACUGGUUGGUUUUGGUGCAAGCAAGGGACCGACUACGAAAGAGGGGUUCACCACCACCAGGUCGACUCCACUUUCCUCUGCUACUCUCCAUGCCUCUUUCUCUGCGACAGUUUUUGCAUAUGCAUACCACAGCUAAUGUACAGACAAAAAUAUGUAAGUAAAUAAAAUGUUGCAGUUGGAAGUGAUUCAUGUAAACCUGGUGUAAUCUCCUUGUUUUGGGUAUUCAUCUGUUCUUAAUCUUCUACUUGUCUGUGUGCAUGCUUACUGGCCAUAUAUGCUAAGAAGCAUGGAUACAAACACACACCAAAAGCCACGACACAGACUUGUUGGGGAAACGGUGAAUACUAUUUGUCCUUAUUAUCAAUUGUGCCUCAAAUAAUGUUUUUAUGCAGAUAUAAGAAGAUGUAGUCACUAAAUGAGUAUCCAAGAACUAAGCAUUCAUGGCAAUUUUGACUCUGAUCAUUUUAAAAUCAUAAUGUGUCCCCAAUGUGUCCGCCUAAUGAAUUAUAAUACAAAAUCAGUUACACUUGGGCAUGUUUGGUGUCUGAUGCUUGUCGGACAUGGAUACGGGAGGCCAGUAGGUGUGUUUGUGCUUCUUGGCAUAUACGCAGUGCUUUCAAAAACAUGAAAGAGGUUUGAGUGAUGUUACAUUGUUGCGUUCGCAGUACUCCAGAUCACUCCAGUGAGUUUCAUUUAGAGGAGAAACUCGUCGAGCAUCAUCGCGGUAUCUUACUGACGAGCAGGAAGAGGUCAGCACAACGCGCCUCACAUUCCUUGCUCUUGUGCAGGAGCUCAAGACAUUCAGAGUGCCUUUUAUACAUGGAUCUAUCAGGGUAGCCUGCAAUAUUAGAAAAAGCAUGAAACUAAUGUAUCUAGUUUUGCAUGUCACAACCAUGAUAGAGAUAAUUAAACCUUACCAACUGUAAAAUUUACUUUAACAAGAAUAACCGCAUUGCAUAAAUUUGGGUUGUUGAGACUUGAGAUGUUAUUUAGUUUGCAUUCAUGGAACAAAUCGCAGAAAACUUGAAUGGUAUUGAUGGUCGAAAAGUACUAGUGAUAUCUAUGGCCUAGGAAAUAUAGAUCAUAUCGAGACAUGUCUAUCAGAUUAUGCCAUCCAGCUUUCAAAAACAGUCAUCAUUUAGGAUCAAGGUGAGAACCUCUGGUUGCUAUUGGGAAGGCACUCAGUUAAGCUUUUAGUGUAAAUGAUUGAUUAAUGUAUGAUUAUGGUAUUAUCAUCAUUUAUUAAUUAUUAUACCAACAGGUUCCAAGAAAACUUUGCCUGAAUGUUUUGGUCAUAUGGAACGAGAACUGGAGAUGCAGUAUGGAAGACCCCGUCGACCCCCUUUAUGGCUUGGUCAAAGCUUCCUUCAUCCAUCAGAUCAGCUUUGAAAAUCUUUAGUCUCUCCUUGGCUCCACUCAGCUCCCAAAGGAAACCUACCUUUUCCACAUCUCCUGGCAAGAAAGAAAAAAAGAAGAAACAGUAUACAAGUGGCAAGAUGGAGAUGAUAUUGAUCAGAAUAGGGAACUUGUCGCUGAUCAUAUGAGCGGCAUGAUCUGUAUGAAUCUUUGGCAGGAGAAGUGAGAGUACCUGGAUCUCGCACGGUUGUGCGGACAGUGUGACCCUUUUCCAACAGUGAUUUCACUAGGUGAUCACUUUUUCACUAGCCUGUAGGAGAGCACCGAUGGAGGCAAUGUCAUUUUUACAUGUAGCAGUGCUAAAUAAUGACUGUUUCCAGGAGAUUGAAACAAUAAAUAGAGAACGAGAAUUAGCAGUUUAGACCUCUCACUCGGCAACCUUGAGCUUAAGAAGGCCUUUUGAGGGUUAUUAAUAGCUCAAUCUGAAAAGGCUUGUAGCAGCGAGGAAAUUUUCGAAUACUUGCUGAUUUGAUUUACCACUUUUGCAAGAUGGUUGACCAAUGAAAUCCCGAGGGUUGACCACCAAGACGCAGCAGUAAAGUUGGAAGGCCAAGAUUUUGGUUUCGUCGACUACUGAGAUAUUCUGGAGCUUUGUCUAAAACAUUGUACAGGGGUCGAUAAGCCCCUGGGCUGGUCCACCAGACAAGUAGCCAACACCUAAGUGUACUACAAACUCUCUUCAAGGGGCCAAGAGUAACGAGACGAAGCCUCGUUUUACUAACUUUCCAUUGACGGCUUCGAAAUGAUAUUUGAUUGACGGUCUUCUUUCUUGAUUACGCGUCACGUCUAAUUCAACCUGUCGUAAAUGAAGCUUUCACAGUCCAUUAUUG
Rhododendron vialii is the source of this 3104-nucleotide long non-coding RNA. RefSeq lists it as uncharacterized. Lineage: Eukaryota; Viridiplantae; Streptophyta; Magnoliopsida; Ericales; Ericaceae. The record is from RefSeq and is a predicted model, not a curated record. The transcript is spliced from 3 exons.